GACGAACGCUGGCGGCGUGCCUAAUACAUGCAAGUCGAACGAAGCUGUUUUAACUGGUGCUUGCACCGACUUAAACAACUGAGCGGCGAACGGGCGAGUAACACGUGGGUAACCUGCCCCAAAGCGGGGGAUAACAUUUGGAAACAGAUGCUAAUACCGCAUAAUCACAGAAACCACAUGGUUUCUGUGUCAAAGAUGGUUUCGGCUAUCACUUUGGGAUGGACCCGCGGCGUAUUAGCUAGUUGGUAAGGUAAUGGCUUACCAAGGCAAUGAUGCGUAGCCGAACUGAGAGGUUGAUCGGCCACAUUGGGACUGAGACACGGCCCAAACUCCUACGGGAGGCAGCAGUAGGGAAUCUUCCACAAUGGACGAAAGUCUGAUGGAGCAACGCCGCGUGAGUGAAGAAGGUUUUCGGAUCGUAAAACUCUGUUGUCAGAGAAGAACGUGUGCGAGAGUAACUGUUCGUGCAGUGACGGUAUCUGGCCAGAAAGCCACGGCUAACUACGUGCCAGCAGCCGCCGUAA
This 524-nucleotide ribosomal RNA is filed under the name uncultured bacterium. RNAcentral describes it as "partial 16S ribosomal RNA". It matches the Rfam family "Bacterial small subunit ribosomal RNA", at positions 28 to 523 of the family's 1533-position model. The record is from RNAcentral.